GGAAGAAGGAAUCAGGAGGCAGAGCACAUGGUUAAAGCAUGAGAUGUGAAACCAGGAAGAACCAGGUCUGAAUCUUAGCUCCACCAGUGGUAGCUCCAAACCUUAGUCCUUUCUGAGCCUGCUUCUUCAACCCUAAGGGAACACUACACUUCCUUAAAAAUUAAGAGUGUGUGCUACACUGCUUUACUAGAGCAAGACCAAAAGCAGCUUCAAUUAUGGUACAACUGUGUGAAGACACAAUGCAAAACCACUCAAGAAUGCUCACUCAAAUGGAUCUUUUACGAUGGAAUUCGGAAACGGGACCCAGAAAGUUGUUUCCUGCAAGUGGCUGGAACAACACAAGCAAUAAGUAUCCUGAAACAGGCCCUGUUCCAACAAACUGACCCAGAAAGCAAGUAUGAGGAAUCCUGUUUCCCUACGUUCUCACUACGACAGCAGGAUAUCAAACAUUGAUAUCCACCAAUCUCUGGAUGGAAAAACAAAUCUCAGGAAUCGCUUGCAGGAGGCUCUGCACGUUCCUCAGAUUCAGAGUCGCUGUCCUUUUGCCUGUGAAGCUCCUCACUUUCAGAGUCACUAGCAUUAAGAUUUAAGGGCUCAUCAUUCUCAGAGUCUGUCACAUGAUGUCCUUUGGGGAGGCCAUCUUCUCGAUCACUAGUUUCAUUCUGAAAAAUAAAGUGAGAAAAAAUUAGGAAAGUGCAAAAAAAAAACUUAAAU
RNAcentral lists this non-coding RNA (714 nucleotides) under Pongo abelii (Sumatran orangutan). Lineage: Eukaryota; Metazoa; Chordata; Mammalia; Primates; Hominidae. The record is from RNAcentral.